UUUUUUUCAAAAAUAUUUGAUUUUCAAACAUUAAUAUUUUUAUAGUAGCUAGAUGAUAUUCAGUAUUUAAAGGACUAUGGGUAAUUUCAUUGUUUGUACACCAAAAUGAAAAUAACGUUACGCCAUUGGUUGAAUUUCCAUUGUUUAAAACGUUUUAAACUAAUCACAACGUUUUUGAAAAUAUUUCCCGGAAUGCAUAAGAUUUUGAAUUGCGAAUUGCGAAUUUAGCUAGUGGUCAUUAGGGACUUUUUGUACUAAGUUAGUUUAUAAAGUCUCUAUGGUUAUCUAGUUAAGAAACAGUGUUUUCAUCUAAAAAAUAAACCAACAAAUUAUAAAAAAUAUGUUUUUUUUUAUUGUUAGAUUUAUUUGCGAUUGCUUUUAAAAACAACAAAAGGCUUUAAGCAUGCGAGUUUAUUUUUAUAAGCCAGGCAUAUCACCCUUCAGUUAAAUACUGGAGUAAAAGACUGUUCCUAAUAAUAUUGAAUUAACGCAAUACUAAACAAAAGCACUUAACAAUGCUUAAGUACUCA
RNAcentral lists this long non-coding RNA (530 nucleotides) under Mytilus galloprovincialis (Mediterranean mussel). The record is from RNAcentral. Lineage: Eukaryota; Metazoa; Mollusca; Bivalvia; Mytilida; Mytilidae.